GGGGGCGACAGGCUUCGACGGGAUGUCCUGAAGCCAAGGGAAGCAUACCGAGGUCUGGGGCUCGUUAAAACACCAGAAAAAAAUAGUCGCAAACGACUAUAACUACGCUCUGGCUGCUUAAGUCAGCCGGCGUCUUUUAGGCCUGCUCCUGCGGGGCUUAAGAGACGACAUUUAGCAGGAUGGCCUUUCACGCCUUGCCCAAGCUACUGAAAGGCGAGACUUAAAUGGGCUGGUUUCUUAAUACCCUGCCUGUCGGGGAUUGAGGGAUGAGAUUUAAAUGAUAGGCUAAGUAUGUAGAUGCCCUGGAUAAGCAUUCUCGGACGUGGGUUCAAUUCCCACCGCCUCCACCA
RNAcentral lists this transfer-messenger RNA (350 nucleotides) under Deltaproteobacteria bacterium GWA2_43_19. It matches the Rfam family "transfer-messenger RNA". From Rfam's summary of the family: Bacterial tmRNA, also known as 10Sa RNA or SsrA, is named for its dual tRNA and mRNA-like properties. The record is from RNAcentral. Lineage: Bacteria; Deltaproteobacteria. RNAcentral also lists the same sequence under 3 other names.